GCAAACUUGGUCAUUUAGAGGAAGUAAAAGUCGUAACAAGGUUUCCGUAGGUGAACCUGCGGAAGGAUCAUUAUUGAAACAUUGUGAAGGAGAGUUGAGCUGGUCCUUAACGGGCAAGUGCUCGCUCUUCUUUCAAUCUUCAUCCACCUGUGCACUUUUUGUAGAGAGUUCUAAGAAAACAGGCCUUGUAACAGAGGUCUCGAGUACUGGGGUUCUCUAUGUCUUUAUAAACUCUGAAUGUAUGUCGUUGAAUGUCUUUUACAAGGGACUUAAUUGGCCCUUUUAAAAACAAUACAACUUUCAGCAACGGAUCUCUUGGCUCUCGCAUCGAUGAAGAACGCAGC
Molecule: unclassified non-coding RNA, 344 nt
Filed under: uncultured fungus
Lineage: Eukaryota; Fungi
Description: partial contains small subunit ribosomal RNA, internal transcribed spacer 1, and 5.8S ribosomal RNA
Rfam family: Eukaryotic small subunit ribosomal RNA (bases 1-73)
Source: RNAcentral